This 460-nucleotide ribosomal RNA is filed under the name uncultured bacterium. Its description in RNAcentral is "partial 16S ribosomal RNA". It matches the Rfam family "Bacterial small subunit ribosomal RNA", at positions 338 to 795 of the family's 1533-position model. The record is from RNAcentral.
CCUACGGGAGGCAGCAGUGAGGAAUAUUGGUCAAUGGACGAGAGCCUGAACCAGCCAAGUAGCGUGAAGGAUGACUGCCCUAUGGGUUGUAAACUUCUUUUAUAUGGGAAUAAAAUGUUCCACGUGUGGGAUUUUGUAUGUACCAUAUGAAUAAGGAUAGGCUAACUCCGUGCCAGCAGCCGCGGUAAUACGGAGGAUCCGAGCGUUAUCCGGAUUUAUUGGGUUUAAAGGGCGCGUAGGUGGAUUGUUAAGUCAGUUGUGAAAGUUUGCGGCUCAACCGUAAAAUUGCAGUUGAAACUGGCAGUCUUGAGUACAGUAGAGGUGGGCGGAAUUCGUGGUGUAGCGGUGAAAUGCUUAGAUAUCACGAAGAACUCCGAUUGCGAAGGCAGCUCACUGGACUGCAACUGACACUGAGGCUCGAAAGUGUGGGUAUCAAACAGGAUUAGAUACCCCAGUAGUC